Molecule: transfer RNA, 90 nt
Filed under: Histophilus somni 129PT
Lineage: Bacteria; Pseudomonadati; Pseudomonadota; Gammaproteobacteria; Pasteurellales; Pasteurellaceae
Description: tRNA-Leu
Rfam family: tRNA
About the family: Transfer RNA (tRNA) molecules are approximately 80 nucleotides in length. Their secondary structure includes four short double-helical elements and three loops (D, anti-codon, and T loops).
Source: RNAcentral
GCCAGUGUGACGAAAUUGGUAGACGUAGCGGAUUCAAAAUCCGCCGCCCUUAAAAGCGUGUCGGUUCGAGUCCGACCACUGGCACCAACU